This 253-nucleotide ribosomal RNA is filed under the name uncultured bacterium. RNAcentral's name for it is "partial 16S ribosomal RNA". It matches the Rfam family "Archaeal small subunit ribosomal RNA", at positions 474 to 727 of the family's 1478-position model. The record is from RNAcentral.
UACCAGCACCCCGAGUGGUCGGGACGAUUAUUGGGCCUAAAGCAUCCGUAGCCGGUCCUACAAGUCUUCCGUUAAAUCCACCUGCUCAACAGAUGGGCUGCGGAAGAUACUAUAGGGCUAGGAGGCGGGAGAGGCAAGCGGUACUCAGUGGGUAGGGGUAAAAUCCUCUGAUCCAUUGAAGACCACCAGUGGCGAAGGCGGCUUGCCAGAACGCGCUCGACGGUGAGGGAUGAAAGCGUGGGGAGCGAACGGG